UUAGACUUGAAUAUAAAUUACUAUUCAAAAUUAUUAUCUUUUUGUGAUUCACUUUUUAAUUAGAUAAUUAAAUUGUUAAUUUUUCUAAUUUUGUUCGAUUAGGCCUAGACCUAUCACGUGUAACGUAACGUGGUGAUUUGCCUAGAUUUACCACAGCACCACCACCUUCCUGUAGCCAUAAUUUUUGCUCCUCAUCCUUCUCUAUACUCUCCCUAGCAUAAACCCAUAACCUUCAUCACUAACAUAACACCAACAACAAAAAAAUCUCACCAAAAUAAUAUAUAUGUAUGUAUGUAUAGCGGAUUGAUCUUUUUUAUGGUUUGCUCCCGUUGUUGGUUAACCAGAUGGAUGGAUGAUAGAGGAGGAAAAAAUUUCGGUGACAGAUCUAAGAGUUUCAAACGGAGUCUCAAGAACAGAGCCGGAGAGAUUUUCCGAUUGAAGAUUGUGAGUUUCAGAAUGGUUUCACAAAUGUUGAAAAUUUUGUGGUGAUGCAAGUGGAUUUGUUGUUUGCGUCUGAUACGUGGUGUGGUGGGAUUCUUGGGAAUUGGGAU
RNAcentral lists this long non-coding RNA (551 nucleotides) under Panax ginseng (ginseng). Its description in RNAcentral is "long non-coding RNA (PGIN_LNC015461)". Lineage: Eukaryota; Viridiplantae; Streptophyta; Magnoliopsida; Apiales; Araliaceae. The record is from RNAcentral.